GACGUAGGGCGCGAGCGUUGUCCGGAUUUAUUGGGCGUAAAGAGCUCGUAGGCGGCUUGUCGCGUCGUUCGUGAAAACCUGCAGCUCAACUGCAGGCUUGCGGUCGAUACGGGCAGGCUAGAGUUCGGUAGGGGAGACUGGAAUUCCUGGUGUAGCAGUGAAAUGCGUAGAUAUCGGGAGGAAUACCGAUGGCGAAGGCAGGUCUCUGGGCUGACACUGACGCUCAUGCACGAAAGCGUGGGGAGCAAACAGG
Molecule: ribosomal RNA, 253 nt
Filed under: uncultured bacterium
Lineage: Bacteria
Description: partial 16S ribosomal RNA
Rfam family: Bacterial small subunit ribosomal RNA
Source: RNAcentral